UAGUCAUAUGCUUGUCUCAAAGAUUAAGCCAUGCAUGUCUAAGUAUAAACAUCUUUAUACAGUGAAACUGCGUACAGCUCAUUAUAUCAGUAAUUAUUUAUUUGAUGGUACCUUACUACAUGGAUAACCGUAGUAAUUCUAGAGCUAAUACAUGCGUAAAAUCCCGACUGCAAGGAAGGGAUGUAUUUAUUAGAUAAAAAAUCAAUGCCGCAAGGCUUUAUUGGUGACUCAUAGUAACUGAUCGAAUCGCAUGGCUUUAUGCUGGCGAUAGUUCAUU
Molecule: ribosomal RNA, 277 nt
Filed under: uncultured eukaryote
Lineage: Eukaryota
Description: partial 18S ribosomal RNA
Rfam family: Eukaryotic small subunit ribosomal RNA
Source: RNAcentral